UACGUAGGGGGCGAGCGUUGUCCGGAAUUAUUGGGCGUAAAGAGCUUGUAGGUGGCUCGUCGCGUCGGGAGUGAAAACCCGCGGCUUAACCGCGGGCCUGCUUUCGAUACGGGCGGGCUAGAGUUCGGCAGGGGAGACUGGAAUUCCUGGUGUAGCGGUGGAAUGCGCAGAUAUCAGGAGGAACACCGGUGGCGAAGGCGGGUCUCUGGGCCGAUACUGACACUGAGAAGCGAAAGCGUGGGGAGCGAACAGG
This 253-nucleotide ribosomal RNA is filed under the name uncultured bacterium. RNAcentral describes it as "partial 16S ribosomal RNA". It matches the Rfam family "Bacterial small subunit ribosomal RNA", at positions 524 to 776 of the family's 1533-position model. The record is from RNAcentral.